This 468-nucleotide ribosomal RNA is filed under the name uncultured bacterium. Its description in RNAcentral is "partial 16S ribosomal RNA". It matches the Rfam family "Bacterial small subunit ribosomal RNA", at positions 28 to 507 of the family's 1533-position model. The record is from RNAcentral.
GACGAACGCUGGCGGCGUGCUUAACACAUGCAAGUCGAACGGAAAGGCCCUGCUUUUGUGGGGUGCUCGAGUGGCGAACGGGUGAGUAACACGUGAGUAACCUGCCCUUGACUUUGGGAUAACUUCAGGAAACUGGGGCUAAUACCGGAUAGGAGCUCCUGCUGCAUGGUGGGGGUUGGAAAGUUUCGGCGGUUGGGGAUGGACUCGCGGCUUAUCAGCUUGUUGGUGGGGUAGUGGCUUACCAAGGCUUUGACGAGUAGCCGGCCUGAGAGGGUGACCGGCCACAUUGGGACUGAGAUACGGCCCAGACUCCUACGGGAGGCAGCAGUGGGGAAUAUUACACAAUGGGCGGAAGCCUGAUGCAGCAACGCCGCGUGCGGGAUGACGGCCUUCGGGUUGUAAACCGCUUUCGCCUGUGACGAAGCGUGAGUGACGGUAAUGGGUAAAGAAGCACCGGCUAACUACGUG